RNAcentral lists this ribosomal RNA (377 nucleotides) under uncultured cyanobacterium. RNAcentral describes it as "bacterial SSU rRNA". It matches the Rfam family "Bacterial small subunit ribosomal RNA", at positions 378 to 770 of the family's 1533-position model. Lineage: Bacteria; Bacillati; Cyanobacteriota. The record is from RNAcentral.
GAACCCUGACGGAGCAACGCCGCGUGCGGGAGGACGGCCUGUGGGUUGUAAACCGCUUUUCUCAGGGAAGAAGUUCUGACGGUACCUGAGGAAUCAGCAUCGGCUAACUCCGUGCCAGCAGCCGCGGUAAUACGGAGGAUGCAAGCGUUAUCCGGAAUUAUUGGGCGUAAAGCGUCCGUAGGCGGUGAGUUAAGUCUGCUGUCAAAGCCUGCAGCUCAACUGUGGAGUGGCAGUGGAAACUGAUUGACUAGAGUGCGAUAGGGGUAGAGGGAAUUCCCAGUGUAGCGGUGAAAUGCGUAGAUAUUGGGAAGAACACCAGAGGCGAAGGCGCUCUACUGGGUCGCAACUGACGCUGAGGGACGAAAGCUAGGGGAGCG